This 225-nucleotide ribosomal RNA is filed under the name uncultured bacterium. RNAcentral's name for it is "partial 16S ribosomal RNA". It matches the Rfam family "Bacterial small subunit ribosomal RNA", at positions 1275 to 1500 of the family's 1533-position model. The record is from RNAcentral.
CCAAAAAGCCGUCCCAGUUCGGAUCGCAGGCUGCAACCCGCCUGCGUGAAGUCGGAAUCGCUAGUAAUCGCGGAUCAGCAUGCCGCGGUGAAUACGUUCCCGGGCCUUGUACACACCGCCCGUCACACCAUGAGAGUCGGGAACACCCGAAGCCCGUAGCCUAACAGCAAUGAGGGCGCGGUCGAAGGUGGGUUCGAUAAUUGGGUGAAGUCGUAACAAGGUAUC